AGUGAACGCUGGCGGUAGGCCUAACACAUGCAAGUCGAACGGUAGCACAGGAGAGCUUGCUCUCUGGGUGGCGAGUGGCGGACGGGUGAGGAAUACAUCGGAAUCUACUCUGUCGUGGGGGAUAACGUAGGGAAACUUACGCUAAUACCGCAUACGACCUACGGGUGAAAGCAGGGGAUCUUCGGACCUUGCGCGAUUGAAUGAGCCGAUGUCGGAUUAGCUAGUUGGCGGGGUAAAGGCCCACCAAGGCGACGAUCCGUAGUUGGUCUGAGGGAAUGAGCAGCCACAGUGGAACUGAGCCACGGUCCAGACUCCUACGGGAGGCAGCAGUGGGGAAAAUUGGACAAUGGGCGCAGGCCGGAUCCAGCCAUACCGCGUGAGUAAAGAAGGCCUUCGGGUUGUAAAGCCCUUUUGUUGGGAAAGAAUCCAGCUGGCUAAUACCCGGUUGGGAUGACGGUACCCAAAGAAUAAGCACCGGCUAACUUCGUGCCAGCAGCCGCCGUAA
This 505-nucleotide ribosomal RNA is filed under the name uncultured bacterium. RNAcentral's name for it is "partial 16S ribosomal RNA". It matches the Rfam family "Bacterial small subunit ribosomal RNA", at positions 29 to 523 of the family's 1533-position model. The record is from RNAcentral.